CAGCCGCCACGGUAAUACGUAGGGUGCAAGCGUUAAUCGGAAUUACUGAGCGUAAAGCGUGCGCAGGCGGUUUGUUAAGACAGAUGUGAAAUCCCCGGGCUCAACCUGGGAACUGCAUUUGUGACUGGCAAGCUAGAGUAUGGCAGAGGGGGGUGGAAUUCCGCGUGUAGCAGUGAAAUGCGUAGAUAUGCGGAGGAACACCGAUGGCGAAGGCAGCCCCCUGGGCCAAUACUGACGCUCAUGCACGAAAGCGUGGGGAGCAAACAGGAUUAGAUACCCCGGUAGUCCCUGUCUCUUAUAC
Molecule: ribosomal RNA, 301 nt
Filed under: uncultured bacterium
Lineage: Bacteria
Description: partial 16S ribosomal RNA
Rfam family: Bacterial small subunit ribosomal RNA
Source: RNAcentral